This 773-nucleotide ribosomal RNA is filed under the name uncultured bacterium. RNAcentral's name for it is "bacterial SSU rRNA". It matches the Rfam family "Bacterial small subunit ribosomal RNA", at positions 10 to 795 of the family's 1533-position model. The record is from RNAcentral.
UGUUUGAUCCUAGGCUCAGGACGAACGCUGGCGGCGCGCCUCAUGCAUGCAAGUCGAGCGACGCACUCCUUAGCCCGUAAGGGCGAGUUUGACGGUACGGCGAACGGUCGCGUAACACGUGACUAAUCUACCCCGAAGACCGGCAUAGCCCGGGGAAACCCGGAUUAAUACCGGAUGAUCUCACCGCGGCUCAUGUGGCGUGGAGCACAGCUCCAGGCGCUCCGGGAUGAGGUCGCGGACCAUCAGCUGGUUGGUGAGGCAACGCCUCACCAGGGCAACGACGGGUAGCUAGGCUGAGAGGACGAUCAGCCACACUGGAACUGAGAUACGGUCCAGACUCCUACGGGAGGCAGCAGCAGGUAAUCUUGCGCAAUGGGCGAAAGCCUGACGCAGCGACGCCGCGUGGGGGAUGAAGGCCUUAGGGUUGUAAACCCCUUUCACGAGAGAAGAAAAUGACUGUACCUCGAGAAGAAGCCCCGGCUAACUACGUGCCAGCAGCCGCAGUAAUACGUAGGGAGCGAGCGUUGUCCGGAUUUAUUACGCGUAAAGAGCUCGUAGGCGGCUUGACAAGUCGGCCGAUGAAACUCAGGGCUCGACCCUGGGACGCAGGUCGAUACUGUCAUGACUAGUGUCUGGUAGAGGGGAAUGGAUUACCAGUGUAGCGGUCGAAUGCGCAGAUAUCGGGAGAACACCAUUAGCGAAGCAAGUACCUAGGGCCGCACUGACGCUGAUGAGCGAACGCGGGUGAGCAACAAGAUUAGAUACCUGUAGUC